GAAACGACUCUCGGCAACGGAUAUCUCGGCUCUUGUUACGAUGAAGAACGUAGCGAAAUGCGAUACUUAGUGUGAAUUGCAGAAUCCCGUGAAUCAUCGAGUUUUUGAACGCAAUUUGCGCCCGAGGCUUCGGUCGAGGGCACGUCUGUCUGGGCGUCGGAUC
Molecule: ribosomal RNA, 163 nt
Filed under: Pinus krempfii (Krempf's pine)
Lineage: Eukaryota; Viridiplantae; Streptophyta; Pinopsida; Pinales; Pinaceae
Description: 5.8S ribosomal RNA
Rfam family: 5.8S ribosomal RNA
About the family: 5.8S ribosomal RNA (5.8S rRNA) is a component of the large subunit of the eukaryotic ribosome.
Source: RNAcentral